This 496-nucleotide ribosomal RNA is filed under the name uncultured bacterium. RNAcentral's name for it is "partial 16S ribosomal RNA". It matches the Rfam family "Bacterial small subunit ribosomal RNA", at positions 28 to 506 of the family's 1533-position model. The record is from RNAcentral.
GAUGAACGCUGGCGGCGUGCCUAAUACAUGCAAGUCGAGCGAACAGACGAGGAGCUUGCUCCUCUGACGUUAGCGGCGGACGGGUGAGUAACACGUGGAUAACCUACCUAUAAGACUGGGAUAACUUCGGGAAACCGGAGCUAAUACCGGAUAAUAUAUUGAACCGCAUGGUUCAAUAGUGAAAGACGGUUUUGCUGUCACUUAUAGAUGGAUCCGCGCCGCAUUAGCUAGUUGGUAAGGUAACGGCUUACCAAGGCAACGAUGCGUAGCCGACCUGAGAGGGUGAUCGGCCACACUGGAACUGAGACACGGUCCAGACUCCUACGGGAGGCAGCAGUAGGGAAUCUUCCGCAAUGGGCGAAAGCCUGACGGAGCAACGCCGCGUGAGUGAUGAAGGUCUUCGGAUCGUAAAACUCUGUUAUUAGGGAAGAACAAAUGUGUAAGUAACUAUGCACGUCUGGACGGUACCUAAGCAGAAAGCCACGGAUAACUACGU